Long non-coding RNA from Drosophila miranda, 1195 nucleotides. RefSeq lists it as uncharacterized. The transcript has 3 exons. The record is from RefSeq and is a predicted model, not a curated record. NCBI's taxonomy places the organism in Eukaryota, Metazoa, Arthropoda, Insecta, Diptera, Drosophilidae.
CUGUUGAAUCUUUAAAAAAUUAAGCAAGAACUUGGGGUAACGUUUCGGGUAAUUUAUUGUAAUAUUAAUAUUUUCUCCAUAUGACAUGAUGUGGGCGCUGCCACCCUGAUGGAAAAAGAGUAGUGUCACAGGGUUGCAUUCGGUUGAGGUAGCUGCCAGAUCGACCAAAGUACUUUACAAUCAAUAAAGAGACUCCAUCCAGUGUCUCCCUGGAAAUGCAAUAUUAGUCCAAGAACCUUAUACAGAAAGCCUUUAAACAGAGCACCUACCGGACCAAGAGUGAAGAUCGGAGUGUUGUAACGCUAACAGAAAAGCUUUAUGAGAAAGUGGCCAAAAAGCUGCCUGACAAGAGAAGUCAAAUCCAGAAGGGAAGCCAAAUCCUGUGUAGCCUAAUUGUAGAGCAGAACAGUGUCCCAGCAAUCAAGACGACCACGGCGAUGAAGGCGAUCUCUCGGCCGCGGUCCAAUCGAUUCAGCCCAAGUACCCUGGCGCUUCGGAAAUGGCCACGUUUAACACGCUGCAAUCUUUAAAGGAACUCCAUGGGCCGCUGAAGGGCUGCCAACGAUACAGAGGCGCUGAUGGUAACUUUAAUGCCAAAAGAAUGCCCUGGCUUGGAUGUCUUUGCGUGAGAAUUAGAGUCUCCCUGGCGGCAUCUUCGCCGAUGAUAUGGGCUUAAGCAAGACCCUGAAAAUGAUUUCAGGAGAGCAAUGUGAAUGAGAGAAGGAUACCAACGGAAUAGCACUGGUGGAUGGAAUUCGAAGGGCUGAAAAACUCAUCUUGGUGGCACCUUAGUCGUGUGCCCGGCCAGCUUGCUGCGCCAGUGGGAGGCAAAGGUUCAUCAUGGCUACAACCGCGAGACAAAGGCCAAACAAAAUCGUGGGUAGAGAGCAUAAGUCGAGUAAUCGACGUUUCAGACUACAAGAAACAACAGAACCGUCUGCAGCUGGAAAGAAAAUUUAACAGCUUGCCCUGCAAGGAGUUGCAUAUGAUUGAGAUUUCCUUUAUCUUUUUGGUUCACAAUGAGAAAAUAAGCUUAAAGUAUUUGGUUUAAGCAUUAUAUGUAUAUCUGCUCCUUUUCCCACAGCCAUAAUAUUUACGCGCCAAAAUUUGAUUUUUAAUCUACUAGGUUUCGCUGUUUGUGGCGAUAGUUUACACAACAGGGAUGAAAUAUUCGGAAAAUCGAUUUUGACUAUGA